Molecule: ribosomal RNA, 2409 nt
Filed under: Triticum aestivum (bread wheat)
Lineage: Eukaryota; Viridiplantae; Streptophyta; Magnoliopsida; Poales; Poaceae
Description: partial small subunit ribosomal RNA
Source: RNAcentral
GGACUGUUGGACUGAUCGCUGAAAGCAACAAGCAAGCAAAGGCAAUUAGGACAAGCAGAAAUCGAGCGGCCGGCCGUGCCGCGGCUGGGGUAGCUAGCAUGCUGGGCGUCCUGGUGCUCCUGCUCCUGCUGAUGCCGCUGUCGGCAACUGCAACAGCACAGCUCUGCGGCAGCGGCGGCAACUACGUGGCCAACGGCACCUACGAGUCCAACCUCGCCGCCCUCGCCUCCACCCUCCCCGCCAACGCCUCAUCCUCCCCGCAGCUCUUCGCCGUCGCCACCGCCGGCCAAUCCCCGGACGCGGUGCACGCGCUCGCGCUCUGCCGGGGCGACUUCGCCAGCGACACCGCGUGCAGGGACUGCGUCGCCGCCUCCUUCCAGCACGCGCAGCGGGCGUGCCCCAGCGACAAGGCCGCCACCGUCUACUACGAGUACGACGACGACCAGAGACCAGGCUGCGUGCUCGGCUUCUCCGGCGACGAUGGCUUCCUCAACCCAGUGGCCAGUCUCACCGGGAACGGCACUCUCUUCCAGGCGUGGAACACGGGGAACAUCUCCGGCGUCGCCGGUGUCGUCACCGCUGGCGUCCACGAGCUGCUGACCGCCACGGCCCAAGACGCGGCCGCCAACACGACGAGGCGGUACGCCACCGCGGUCAUGGAUUCUGCCCCGACGACGCUCUACUCUCUAGCGCAGUGCACGCCGGACCUGUCCGCCGGCGACUGCCAGGCGUGCCUCCAGCGGCUCAUCGGCAUGGUCAACGCCACCACGUCCGUGCGCCUGGGAGGACGGAUCUUCGUGCUGCGUUGCAACGUCAGGUUCGAGGCGUUUAUGUUCUUCGACCGGCCCAUGCGGCGGAUCAGUCCAUCGUCCAACGCUCCGGCUCCUCCCACAGGUCAUGGAACGCGGCCUUGGGUAAUUGCUAUAUGUGUAGCUGCUCCACUAGCACUGGUUGCUUUCUGCGUCAUUGUCUACUGUCGUUGCCUCAGAGGAAGAAGGAACAAAAAUGGUACAAAGAUACUACGAGAAAAUCGUAGUUACAAGUUGCAAGAAGGAGAUCAAGAACUAGUAUGGGAUAUGGAAGAAGCAUUAUCCGGCUUUACAAUUUUUGAUUUUCAUGAGAUAUUGGAAGCUACAAGUAACUUCUCCGAAGAAAAUAAACUUGGAGAAGGAGGAUUUGGCCCUGUAUAUAUGGGUCAUUUUCUUCAAGGAUUGGAGAUAGCAGUCAAGAGACUUGCUUCACAUUCAGGACAAGGUGUCUUAGAGUUCAAAAAUGAAGUUCAGCUCAUAGCCAAACUUCAACAUAGGAAUUUGGUUAGACUCUUGGGAUGUUGCUCGCAAGGAGAGGAAAAAAUAUUGGUCUAUGAAUACUUGCCAAACAAAAGUUUGGACUUCUACAUAUUUGAUGAAUGUAGAAAAGCUUUAUUGGAUUGGAACAAACGUCUUGCAAUAAUUGAAGGAAUAGCAGAAGGACUUCUUUACCUACAUAAGCACUCUUGUUUGCGUGUGAUACAUCGAGAUCUUAAACCAAGCAACAUUCUCUUGGACAAUGAAAUGAAUCCUAAAAUUUCAGAUUUCGGCCUGGCAAAAAUAUUUAGCUCAAAUAACACGGAAGAAGACACCACAAGAAGAGUGGUUGGUACAUAUGGUUACAUGGCUCCAGAGUAUGCCUCCGAGGGCCUAUUCUCCAUCAAAUCCGAUGUAUUCAGCUUUGGUGUCUUAAUUCUUGAGAUCCUUAGUGGGAAUAGGAAUUCUGCUAGCCAUCAAUGUGGAGGUUUCAUCAACCUCCUCGGAUAUGUGAGUUCAUAAACACCCAUAUAACAUGAACUUAAAUGUUGUAUUAACCUAUAGUAUUGUACCUAACUAUAUGGUGAAAUUGCAAAUAGGCUUGGCAGUUAUGGGAUGAGGGAAAUUGGAUUGAUAUUGUUGAUGUGUCAUUGACUCCCAAGUCUCACCCAGUAGAAAUGAUGAGGUGCAUCAACCUCGGACUACUAUGUGUGCAAGAGAAUGCGGCUGAUCGACCGAACAUGUUGGAUGUUACUGCAAUGCUAAGCAGCAAGACAAUGCUCCUGCAGGAGCCAAAGCACCCAGCAUAUUUCAACCUAAGGGUAGGUGAUGAAGAGGAUUCAUUUGCUACCCGGUCCUACAGUGUUAAUGAUAUGACCAUAUCUGUAGCAACUCCUAGAUAGUUUUUCUGUGUCAUGUGUUUUUUCACUGAGCCAAUGCAGAAUCAGUGGUAUAGUACACGUUGUACACCACAUAAUUUUGAGGGUUAUGUAAGCACAAAUGCUUCUCUAAAUCAUAUAGGAUUGAAGUGCAUUUGCAUUGUGGAAGUAGUCAAUCAAAACCAUAAUUGUGUUUAUUAUAAGCUUUCGUAGAAAUAUAGUGCGAAUGGAUCAAAAUACUAAUU